Molecule: long non-coding RNA, 1664 nt
Filed under: Acanthaster planci (crown-of-thorns starfish)
Lineage: Eukaryota; Metazoa; Echinodermata; Asteroidea; Valvatida; Acanthasteridae
Description: uncharacterized LOC110986449, transcript variant X1
Source: RNAcentral
CGCACGCGCAAAUUUAAAAAGCGGACGCCACACGAGGAUCCUUCUCACACGGUUAACGAGAACAGCUGCCGACAUGGAUGCUUGGAGAAGUGCUGCCCUGUUCAUCUGGAACAAGAGCUCUCGGAUUUGUUGAAAAGGUUGACAAGAAAAACUACCUGCAUAGACAUCUGUAGAAGGAGUGCUCUGCCCAUACAACUGGAACGAGAAUUCCUGGACUUGUCCAGAAGGUUGAUGGAGACACCGCCUUCAUAGACGCCCUCUGAAGGGUUGGCCCUGUCCACGUUGAACAAGAGUUCUUGGGCUUUUCAAAAAAAACUCCAAGAGUGCCUAGCACAGCCACAGCAGUCUACCAUCAUUAUCAGUGGCCAUCAACGGAGGUCCAGGAACCAGAUGAGUCCGACUGCAGGUUCUGAAGGAUGAGGCAAGAUGGACCUUUGGGAAUGAGAGAGUGCUAACUGAUCGCCAGAAUGGAAGAUUUCCAAAAUGAAAGGAAUACAGUUAAAUGAAAUUGACUUACAAGUACAAGUAUUAGGGCUCUUCAAAAUCUUUUAAUUACAGUUUAUGACAACGUAUUGCAUGGAUCAGUUGUCUUACUCUUUGUCUUACUGGUAGUUAAAUUAAAAAGACGUAGUGAUACUCAAAGCAGGAUUCAAGGGCCAUGAGUUUAGAAAGGAAAAUGUGAAUGCAAUACUUUGGACUUCUUAAGUAGGACCUCAUCAAUAAAAAUCCAAUGGCCAGAGGAAAUUCAGUACGCUCUGAACUGUACAGCUAAGUGUAUUGUUCAACAUUGCCUGUUUACACACUUGAAGUAAAAACACACCAACAUAAAGCUUGACUCUUGACUUUGCUAUGAUGUGAAACUUGACUUUGAAUUGACCCAAACAACCUGAGAUUUGACAACCACAAAUCACACAUGUACAUGUUUGCAGCGCCGGUGAAUAAAAAGACCCAAAUUAAUUGACAAUUCAUAGAGCGCUUUGUGUUUUUCUACUGCCAAAUUUUGGUGGGUUAUGUUAAAAGCAGCCAAUAUCUGCAGCGCGAAGAUUUGAAAAUGGUAGAAACUGACAACAGAAACUGACAAAUUUUACGUCUUUUUGUUUUUGGAAUUGCUGCUGCGGCUUUUUUGGUGGUGCUUUUGAAAAUUAACCAACAUCCAAAUGGAUCCUUGCAUCUACAUGUACAUGUAUGAAGUGACAUGAAACAUUCUUGAAACGAAGAAAAUGACUUGAUAACAACUCACCCCUUUCUGACCUUCCUGAAUUCAUUGCUCCGCCGGUCACAAGUACAACCAAUGUAACAUUGAUGCAGCCCACAAACCUGCGCUGUGUUCCCUAAUGGCCACCAGCACGGGCAGCAAAGUGGAGCAGGUGCAUGCUAACCUCGUCUGAUUCCUGGACUUCUGAUGAGGGUAGACUGCUGUUAGGCACUCUUUGGGGAGUUCUGAAAAGCAACAAAAAAAUGAAGGGACUUUUAAUUAUGUUGUAUUUUGAGAACAAAGUGUGCACUCACAAUCAUAUGUAUAACUUGUGAACAGUUUGUUUACACUUUCAUUAGAGAGAUACUUAAAUUGUACAUGUAUAAAACUAUUAAAGAUUUAUAAAUGCAAAGCAUGUAAGUUGGCAGUUUCCAGAAUAAACUGAGAUGGUAAAUAUACAAACCAGGAA